Long non-coding RNA from Pantherophis guttatus, 345 nucleotides. RefSeq lists it as uncharacterized. Lineage: Eukaryota; Metazoa; Chordata; Lepidosauria; Squamata; Colubridae. The record is from RefSeq and is a predicted model, not a curated record.
GGAAACGGAAAAUACAUUUUAUGUAUAACAGCUACUUGAGAAGUCCAUAUGUCUGAGAAAGGUGAAAGGAAAGAGAAGGAUGACAAGCACAAAAUGGAUAGACUUGAUUACAACAGCAAUGGAUGCCCCAGUGGAACACCUGAAGGUCCAGCUUAAGGACAGAUCAUCUUGCAAAAUGUCAUUUUAUGUAGUUGGUGAGAAUCAAUGCUGACUUGACGACAGUUUGUCAAUCGAAUUGGUAAAGAUCUCCCAUUCAGCUUCCAAGAAGGAUAAAGGACCACAGAGGAGACUCAUAAAUGCCUUUCUCUGCCACCGUGAUGCUCUGUAAUGUUAAUAAAUGAGAAA